AAACCGCGAAUGGCUCAUUAAAUCAGUUAUGGUUCAUUAGAUUGUACCCACAUUUACUUGGAUAACUGUGGUAAUUCUAGAGCUAAUACAUGCAACACAGAGUCCCGACCAGUGAUGGGAGGGANGCUUUUAUUAGAUCAAAACCAAUCGGUGGCGGGUAGGCUCNCCCAUCCGUCCAUCGUUUAUUUUGGUGACUCUGAAUAACUUUGUGCUGAUCGCACGGUCCUAGCACCGGCGACGCAUCUUUCAAAUGUCUGCCUUAUCAACUGUCGAUGGUAGGUUCUGCGCCUACCAUGGUUGUAACGGGUAACGGGGAAUCAGGGUUCGAUUCNGGAGAGGGAGC
This 343-nucleotide ribosomal RNA is filed under the name Mystrium voeltzkowi. RNAcentral describes it as "SSU rRNA". It matches the Rfam family "Eukaryotic small subunit ribosomal RNA", at positions 84 to 395 of the family's 1831-position model. The record is from RNAcentral. Lineage: Eukaryota; Metazoa; Arthropoda; Insecta; Hymenoptera; Formicidae.